RNAcentral lists this transfer RNA (73 nucleotides) under Sus scrofa (pig). It matches the Rfam family "tRNA". From Rfam's summary of the family: Transfer RNA (tRNA) molecules are approximately 80 nucleotides in length. Their secondary structure includes four short double-helical elements and three loops (D, anti-codon, and T loops). Lineage: Eukaryota; Metazoa; Chordata; Mammalia; Artiodactyla; Suidae. The record is from Rfam by way of RNAcentral.
UCCCUGAUGGCCCAGUGGUUGAGGGCUCAGCAUUGUCACUGCUGUGGUGUGGGUUUGAUCCCUGGCCCAGGAA